UGGGGAAUAUUGGGCAAUGGGCGCAAGCCUGACCCAGCAACGCCGCGUGAGGGAAGAAGGUUUUCGGAUUGUAAACCUCUGUCGCAGAAGACGAAGGAAGUGACGGUAUUCUGUGAGGAAGCCCCGGCUAACUACGUGCCAGCAGCCGCGGUAAUACGUAGGGGGCGAGCGUUGUCCGGAAUUACUGGGCGUAAAGGGAGCGUAGGCGGUCUGAUAAGUUGGAUGUGAAAUACCCGGGCUUAACUUGGGGGGUGCAUCCAAUACUGUUGGACUAGAGUACAGGAGAGGAAAGCGGAAUUCCUAGCGUAGCGGUGAAAUGCAUAGAUAUUAGGAGGAACAUCGGUGGCGAAGGCGGCUUUCUGGACUGCAACUGACGCUGAGGCUCGAAAGCGUGGGGAGCAAACAGG
RNAcentral lists this ribosomal RNA (407 nucleotides) under uncultured bacterium. Its description in RNAcentral is "bacterial SSU rRNA". It matches the Rfam family "Bacterial small subunit ribosomal RNA", at positions 355 to 776 of the family's 1533-position model. The record is from RNAcentral.